AUUGAACGCUGGCGGCAGGCCUAACACAUGCAAGUCGAGCGGAUGAAGGGAGCUUGCUCCUGGAUUCAGCGGCGGACGGGUGAGUAAUGCCUAGGAAUCUGCCUGGUAGUGGGGGAUAACGUCCGGAAACGGGCGCUAAUACCGCAUACGUCCUGAGGGAGAAAGAGGGGGAUCUUCGGACCUCACGCUAUCAGAUGAGCCUAGGUCGGAUUAGCUAGUUGGGGGGGUAAAGGCCUACCAAGGCGACGAUCCGUAACUGGUCUGAGAGGAUGAUCAGUCACACUGGAACUGAGACACGGUCCAGACUCCUACGGGAGGCAGCAGUGGGGAAUAUUGGACAAUGGGCGAAAGCCUGAUCCAGCCAUGCCGCGUGUGUGAAGAAGGUCUUCGGAUUGUAAAGCACUUUAAGUUGGGAGGAAGGGCAGUAAGUUAAUACCUUGCUGUUUUGACGUUACCAACAGAAUAAGCACCGGCUAACUUCGUG
This 484-nucleotide ribosomal RNA is filed under the name uncultured bacterium. RNAcentral's name for it is "partial 16S ribosomal RNA". It matches the Rfam family "Bacterial small subunit ribosomal RNA", at positions 30 to 507 of the family's 1533-position model. The record is from RNAcentral.